UGCAUUUUGAAUCCAGAUUUUCCUUAGGUUGGCCUCUUCGUGCAAGCAUGCCCUCUAUGUGACAAGCAAAUGCCACAACUUUGAACUGGCAACGGCCGCGAUGGCACGGCACCAACGGCCGUCGCAUCAGCCAGAGUCAGUUCCAAUACCGUCUUCGUCAUCGUCCUCAUCAUAGCGUCCAUAGCGUCAUCACCGUCAUCUGCCAAAAACCUCACUAUGCUCACUUCAUACAAACUGUAGACUCUAGAUGGCUCGCAAGAGCUCCUCGAUCUUAUCCAGAUACUGUCCUGGCAGCCAACUACUUCACCAUACAGUUAUGCGGCGCAGUGAAACACUCCUGUCUACUUCAGUCACGGGGUGCUCAAUUGGCGAGCUCAACCACUAAACAACGAAGCACUGCGGGAAAGUCAACCUCUCACAGUGCUGGGGAGAAUACGACAGCGCGUGUGGCGAAAGGAGUGGCACCGGGGAACGACCACAGAGUGCGGUGACGAUGAGCCGUGCGACGGCAGCACUAAGCUCCAACUUGUUGACCAAGCCUUAUUUCGGAACGAUUGAUUAAAACGUGGGUAGGAAAAGUGUUCGGCGUUGUAGAAAUUAGCUUCAGUAACACGACUAGGUGAGCUUGCUGCUACGUAUUUCCCGGCAGACGUAUCUCCGCAAGCCCUCUGACGUUUGCGCAGCAGAGAGGCGACGUGAUCCGAAUCACGGGAGCGCUUUCUCGGACGACGUGGGCGAUGACGAGCGGCCAUUGCGAGCGGCGCCGCGACCUGUCGCACUGCCAUGCGCGGCGCCGCGGCGCUGCGCCGGAUUGUUCUAAAUAAACCGCGGCUCUCGGAGACCCCGACCUUGGCCCGAAAUAAGAGCCGCGAUGGCCGCUGAUAGGAGGUGAGCCAAAUCUUGAAGCAGCCGGGCUUAUUUCCGAUGGCAUGUUCUCCGGCAUCCAUCCUGCGCCGAGUCCGCGUGCAGGCCCCGAGGUGCGUCACACCACGGCGCGGCACGCACACACACACACACAACGCAAAAGGGUGCGCGUCCAAGCGUCCCUCGACGACCGCGCCUUCCAGUCCAUUUCCUCCGAGCGCGCCGUCUAGAAGCGCGAACAACGCGUGGCUAAUCUUGAGAUUGGCCUGUCGCGCUAUUACUGAAAACGGUGCCGCCCCGCUGCACGAAAGCUUUCUUGCACGGAUCGCUUCAUUGGCUGAAUGAAAGAUCGAUUCGAAGUCAGCGCUGCGUAUGUGAGCGCGCUUGAUUCUCUCCGGUUCGAUCAACAUCACGUGAGCCGGAGGAAACUUAUAAGUGCGCUCACCACACGCAAUUUAAAGCGGCUCGACCGGAUUAAACUGCGUGCUUAAUUCGGCUGCACCAGGUUUAAUCCGGCUCGACCGAUGGCGGUCGAGCCGGUUUAAGCUCGUUCCUUCUUGGGCACUCUGAUCCUUGUUUCACUCGUCAACGAGUAUAUAUCUAUGGUAACAAGGCACAUACCCGCUACAGUCUUCAUGCCAGCAAACUCGUAAUCCGACAAAUUAGUUCCAUUAGAACUAUACGAGAUGCAUAUAAGGCAGUUCUGUAUUCCUUUCCUUUUUUCGUGUCUUCGCGCAGAGAAAUUAAAUAGCUUAUUUGAAGUCAACGCCGAGUCUAUGUUUUCGCUUCCAUUUUUGCUGUUCAGCCAUAAUUCACCGAUUAGCCCACGCUUGAACUCAGUUCA
Molecule: long non-coding RNA, 1708 nt
Organism: Dermacentor silvarum
Lineage: Eukaryota; Metazoa; Arthropoda; Arachnida; Ixodida; Ixodidae
Exons: 3
Source: RefSeq, a predicted model, not a curated record